Molecule: transfer RNA, 101 nt
Filed under: Hypomontagnella monticulosa
Lineage: Eukaryota; Fungi; Ascomycota; Sordariomycetes; Xylariales; Hypoxylaceae
Description: tRNA-Arg
Rfam family: tRNA
About the family: Transfer RNA (tRNA) molecules are approximately 80 nucleotides in length.
Source: RNAcentral
GGCUGCUUGGCCCAAUGGUAAGGCGUCUGACUACGAUCGAGUGAGUUCAUGGCAUCCGUUCAGUUAUCAGGAGAUUCUGGGUUCGAGCCCCAGGGUGGUCA